This 1459-nucleotide long non-coding RNA is filed under the name Equus caballus (horse). RNAcentral describes it as "lncRNA (ENSECAG00000051027.1)". The record is from RNAcentral. Lineage: Eukaryota; Metazoa; Chordata; Mammalia; Perissodactyla; Equidae.
GCCACCUCAGGAGACCAUUAGUCUGUGAACCAGAGGACAAGUCCACCCAGCCACUUUGAAGGCUAGGGGAUUAAUAUAUCCCCACUCCCUGCACCAAGACGCACCCAGCUUUCUGCUCCAGGAUACAACUGCUAAUUCCUAGGGGGCACCUCUCAGUAUUGGAUUGACGGCCUGAUGCUAACCGUGCUCUUCCUACUACAUUAUAGGAAAUCCUUUUAAACCCUGAUUCAGUCAUGGUCCAGUCAGCUGUAAGAAACCACAUCAGUUAUUUGAAUAAAUAAUUUAAUAUUGGAAACUGGCUUCAACAGCUAUUAGAGGACUAAAAAGCAAACUUCAGAAAGCAACCAUCACCACUGCUCGAUUGGAGAACAAAAAGAAAAGGCUGAGGUUGGCAGGAGAUUGAAGGAGAAGCCCUGCAGAGCUGGAGUCAGACGCAGAGGGAGUGCUGCCCGUGGGCGCUGGGACCUCUGAGACAGGACAAGGUGGCUUGUCCUAGGAGAGUGGGGGACCAACUGCGACUGUGAUCAGCUGCCACUGCCGAGGUGAAGAGCCAUCACUCGGGGAUGCUAACAAAAGAGUGACCAAAUGGAAUGCAGCAAGUCCCUUCUCCAGCUUCAGCCUCCGAGUCUCUUUCCAGUGCCCCUAAAUGGCAGAACUUGGAGAGCCAGCUGGCCAAGGAGGAAUCAGGUUUGCAGAGUCCCUGUCCUGGCACCACAAAGCAGAAUAUAGAAGAGUGGGUUUGGAGUUAAGAGACAAUAACUUAGUAAUCGGCACAAGGCACCCUUCUGAUCACUCACAUACACCCCACGCUUCUGCAUAUACUGAAAUUUCCACACAAGAACAACUUCCGGCUUGUGGAUUUCCCUUAUUCUCUCGUGAGCUCAGCAAUGCGCUUUAAGUAUUCAGUUUGAGUGUGUCAUUGAUCUAGCAUCCGGGGGUGUGCUGCAGCAGGGCCUGGAAAAAUACCUGCUAUGCCAUGCUUUCUGAAGGGGAAACUCCAAGUACAGUUUUCAAAUCCUCUGCUGAAAUGGUUUGUGUCCUCAUUCGCUCGGUUUCUAUCUCCUGAAGGAUCGGCAUCUCCAUUAGCUUUUGAUAAAUGUGUCAUGUGUCCACUAGUAGAAUCUGUUCCAGCUUUUUUAAAAAUGUCAUCUUCUCAAAAUGAAUUUAUCAUCAAAACUCAGAGCUUUUUUUAUUUGCAGAAACCAAUUUGUCAGUUUUCAGCAAGUCUUACUUGAAAUGGUCAAGCUAACAUUUUCUCCACAGAAAAGAAGUAUUCAACAAGAACUUGCCUUGUCCUAUUUUUGGCUUGUCUGUCCCUGUUUACCUUCAAACAUUGUGGUUAAUUUCACGCCUGUCAUUUUAGGGUCCUCUGGUCCUUCAAAAAGAGAUUCUUUCCCCAGGAAUUUAAAAGGAUGUCGCUGGUCAUUUCGGAUUCUUAAAAUUAAAAAGUGAAUCUGAC